This 468-nucleotide ribosomal RNA is filed under the name uncultured bacterium. RNAcentral describes it as "partial 16S ribosomal RNA". It matches the Rfam family "Bacterial small subunit ribosomal RNA", at positions 28 to 507 of the family's 1533-position model. The record is from RNAcentral.
GACGAACGCUGGCGGCGUGCUUAACACAUGCAAGUCGAACGGAAAGGCCCUGCUUUUGUGGGGUGCUCGAGUGGCGAACGGGUGAGUAACACGUGAGUAACCUGCCCUUGACUUUGGGAUAACUUCAGGAAACUGGGGCUAAUACCGGAUAGGAGCUCCUGCUGCAUGGUGGGGGUUGGAAAGUUUCGGCGGUUGGGGAUGGACUCGCGGCUUAUCAGCUUGUUGGUGGGGUAGUGGCUUACCAAGGCUUUGACGGGUAGCCGGCCUGAGAGGGUGACCGGCCACAUUGGGACUGAGAUACGGCCCAGACUCCUACGGGAGGCAGCAGUGGGGAAUAUUGCACAAUGGGCGGAAGCCUGAUGCAGCAACGCCGCGUGCGGGAUGACGGCCUUCGGGUUGUAAACCGCUUUCGCCUGUGACGAAGCGUGAGUGACGGUAAUGGGUAAAGCAGCACCGGCUAACUACGUG